GAUGAAGAACGCAGCGAAAUGCGAUACUUGGUGUGAAUUGCAGAAUCCCGUGAACCAUCGAGUCUUUGAACGCAAGUUGCGCCCGAAGCCAUUAGGCCGAGGGCACGCCUGCCUGGGCGUCACACGUCGUUGCCCCCCCAUCUACUCCUUCGGGAUUGCGGGGGGCGGAUGAUGGCCUCCCGUGCGCCUCGCUGCGCGGUUGGCAUAAAUGCCAAGUCCUCGGCGACGCACGCCACGACAAUCGGUGGUUGCGAAACCUCGGUUGCCCGUCGUGUGCGGUCGUCGCGCAUCGAGGGCUCGAAAAAAUUGCCGGGUUCCGGCUCGGCUUUCAACGCGACCCCAGGUCAGGCGGGGUUACCCGCUGAAUUUAAGCAUAUCAAUAAGCGGAGGA
Molecule: unclassified non-coding RNA, 391 nt
Filed under: soil metagenome
Description: partial contains 5.8S ribosomal RNA, internal transcribed spacer 2, and large subunit ribosomal RNA
Rfam family: 5.8S ribosomal RNA (bases 1-122)
Source: RNAcentral